Molecule: ribosomal RNA, 465 nt
Filed under: uncultured Veillonella sp.
Lineage: Bacteria; Bacillati; Bacillota; Negativicutes; Veillonellales; Veillonellaceae
Description: bacterial SSU rRNA
Rfam family: Bacterial small subunit ribosomal RNA
Source: RNAcentral
CCUACGGGUGGCAGCAGUGGGGAAUCUUCCGCAAUGGACGAAAGUCUGACGGAGCAACGCCGCGUGAGUGAUGACGGCCUUCGGGUUGUAAAGCUCUGUUAAUCGGGACGAAAGGCCUUCUUGCGAAUAGUUAGAAGGAUUGACGGUACCGGAAUAGAAAGCCACGGCUAACUACGUGCCAGCAGCCGCGGUAAUACGUAGGUGGCAAGCGUUGUCCGGAAUUAUUGGGCGUAAAGCGCGCGCAGGCGGAUUGGUCAGUCUGUCUUAAAAGUUCGGGGCUUAACCCCGUGAUGGGAUGGAAACUGCCAAUCUAGAGUAUCGGAGAGGAAAGUGGAAUUCCUAGUGUAGCGGUGUAAUGCGUAGAUAUUAGGAAGAACACCAGUGGCGAAGGCGACUUUCUGGACGAAAACUGACGCUGAGGCGCGAAAGCCAGGGGAGCGAACGGGAUUAGAUACCCCUGUAGUC